CUGUAUCCACUGAUAGACCUUGAACAAUGUGGUCUUGCUCUUUUGUUUUACACUAGGAUAUAGAGAAAAAUUCCAGUGCUCUCUUUGUGGCAGAUCAGAUUAAACUGGAGAAUGCAUUU
Molecule: small nucleolar RNA, 119 nt
Organism: Ochotona curzoniae (black-lipped pika)
Lineage: Eukaryota; Metazoa; Chordata; Mammalia; Lagomorpha; Ochotonidae
Product: small nucleolar RNA SNORA31
Exons: 1
Source: RefSeq, a predicted model, not a curated record